GAUGCCCUGCAAUGCCUCAGGACUCUCCAGAAUGUUUUCACCAGCAAAAAGGCCCUCAGCAGAUGCAGCCUCUCGACCUUGAACUUUCUAGCCUCCAAAAUGGACUAUCGGUACUGAAACCCAGCAAGCUGAAAUCAGCAAAACAAGAUGGUCUUGCUAACUUGAGGAAGCUGUAGCAGCUGGAAGCUCCAGAGAGGAGGGGGCUCAGAGUCUGCACAUCAAUGGGGAGACAUCAUUCUGGCUGCAUUAUGAAUGGAUGGUUUGGAGGAAGAAUGUGGAUAGCUAAACAAGAAGGAGAAUAGAAAGAAACUACUCUUAAGACUAUUGCAAUAUCCAGGUGCAAUGUGCUUUGUUUCUGACUGCAGACUAUAAUGUUUAUUCCUAUUGGGGGCAGAGCAAGAUUUCAGUUUCUUUUCUCAGCAACAAGAAAAUACUCUGUCUGAAAUCAAGCAACUUCUGGGAAGACCAAGAGUGAUGGAAACUAGAGUUACAAAGCAAAAACCCUACAUCCUGAAUGCCCAGCCCGGUCAAUGAAAUUUUUCUGUCUCAUUUAUCAGCUAACUUGGUCCUCUUCCCCUGGGAACAAAACUGAGAAGGGUUAAGAGAUAAUGUGGAAACAAACUCCCCAGCACUUGCCUAAGAGGGCAGCUGUGUACCCAGACCUUCUUUCCUCUAUGUCAUUGUACUAGAAAGAGAGAGUUCCAUACUCUUUAAUCUGAAUAGUUGGCACUCACUUAAAAAAGAAUGCAGCCUGAUUCCUCUCUGCCCCUCUAGCUAUUUCCAGAAAGUUGUUCAUGGGAUGAAUUGGUAAGUAAAGAAUUCAGACACUGGUUCUGAUUAAGGGAUCUUAUAAAUGAUUUAUAACCUUUGGGAACAUCAAAGACAGCACUCAUAAGCCAGGCAAGCUAAGGGGUGCUCAGGAGUAAAAUGCACCUCCCCAUCUCACAAAUCCAUUGUUUUGAUGAAAGGAUAAGAGGCAGUUGGCCUGGGAAGGUGAAAAGGCAGGAAAAGAGUGGGAAGUCAGCUCCUAGGAUAAUAACCACAUCCACAGGCAUUGUCUCCUUUCACAUAUUUACAGCUUUUCUUUCUUAUCUUUCCACACCUCUAUAUUCAGUUAUGUAUGACCUACUAGCAAUUUACAGCUGCUUUAAAUGCAUACAUUUCAGGUAGGGUGUGUUGACUUAUGCCUGUAAUCCCAGCGCUUCGGGAGGCUGAGGUGGGUGGAUCACUUGAGGUCAGGAGUUCAAGAUCAGCCUGGCCAACAUGGCAAAACCCCAUCUCUACUAAAAAUACAAAAAUUAGCCAGUCUUGGUGGUGCACAGCUGUAAUCCCAGCUACUCGGGGGGCUGAGGCAGGAGAAUGGCUUGAACCCAGGAGGCAGAGGUUGCAGUGAGGUGAGAUCACACCACUGUACUCCAGUCUGGGCAACAGAAAGAGACUCCAUCUCAAACAAACAAACAAACAAAUAAAUAAAUAAAUGCAUACAUUGUAUCAGAAAUUAUCUCCCAUAUUGAUGAGUCUUCCAUGGGCAUCUAAUUUAAAUAUUUUUUUCUGAAAAGCAAAAGGUGCUCUAUUAUGUUGCUGGUGAGAGUGCAAAAUGGUAUAGCCUCUAAAGAGAUUAAUGUAACAAUAACUGUUAGAACCAUAUAUGCAAUCACCCUUUGACCUAGCAACCUCACUUCUAGGAAUUCAUCUUGAAGACAUAUCUCUCUAUAUGUAGGCAAAAUGGAAGCUAUUCAAUGUUACAUUGUUAGUAAUAGCAAGUUACUGUCUAUUUUUGUAUCUUUCAAAUACAUGUCUAUUUAUGUGAAAGGAUAAACUGUGGUUUAUCCACAAAAUGAAUUUUUAUGAAGUUGUAAAAAAGAAUGAGUGACAUGUCCAUGAACUGUCAUGGAGUGAUUUCCAGAACGUAUUUU
This 1916-nucleotide long non-coding RNA is filed under the name Homo sapiens (human). RNAcentral's name for it is "non-protein coding lnc-OXCT1-1:8". Lineage: Eukaryota; Metazoa; Chordata; Mammalia; Primates; Hominidae. The record is from RNAcentral.